GAUCAAAGCCUUGGCAGAAACAUCAUGAAUAAAAAGCAUACCCUAGAUAAGGACGAGAGUGAGGAGAGCACCGGGUUCAUCUAGUAGUACACGCGAUCCUAGACCAUAGGUCCAGCCACGUCCUUCAACGGUUGAGGGCAAUCCUUUAUAAAGUGCUAGGUGCUUCCGCAUCGAUAACAAGCAUGAUUGAUAUGCCAAUAGGAUAGAUCACCAUAUGAACAACCAUAAUGCUGACAUGGUUGCAAAGGUUGAAUCCAGUAGGUGGAGGUAAGACAAGGGGAAGGGUAACUCGAGUUUGUUUAUUAGCGUGGCUACUUAUUGGGUCGGGCAAUCUUCUUUUGGGUUGUUGGAGUUGUAGUUGUUGGUUACGAACUCCGGCUGAGAUGAGAUCUUCGACCAAUUGGGUAUGUUCUACCACCUCUGCAUACGAGCUAAGUCUCAACAUCAUAACACGAUUAUAGAUAACGACACGAAGGCCUUUCAAAAUUUUUAUAGCU
Molecule: long non-coding RNA, 497 nt
Filed under: Carica papaya (papaya)
Lineage: Eukaryota; Viridiplantae; Streptophyta; Magnoliopsida; Brassicales; Caricaceae
Description: long non-coding RNA (CPAP_LNC005683)
Source: RNAcentral